CUCCAAAAAGUUUUGAAUGUGAAUUUAUAUGCCAUGUACAACAAAUAAGCCAUGAAAUGAAUUAAAGAUGAAUUGUAACCAUUGCCUCCAAAAAGUUUUGAAUAUGUAUUAAUAUGCCAUGUACAACAAAUAAGCCAUGGAAUGAACUAAGAAAUGAAUUAAAGAUGAAUUGUAACAAUUUCUCCAUAGAUACAUUGUACCAUAAAUGUGAAUUUUGAUUUAACAUGUAUGAAGAACACCUAUGCCUGAUGUUGAAUAGUAGAUAAACAAAUGCGUACC
Long non-coding RNA from Mytilus californianus (California mussel), 279 nucleotides. RefSeq lists it as uncharacterized. The transcript is spliced from 3 exons. NCBI's taxonomy places the organism in Eukaryota, Metazoa, Mollusca, Bivalvia, Mytilida, Mytilidae. The record is from RefSeq and is a predicted model, not a curated record.